Molecule: transfer RNA, 73 nt
Filed under: Potamyia horvati
Lineage: Eukaryota; Metazoa; Arthropoda; Insecta; Trichoptera; Hydropsychidae
Description: tRNA-Asp
Source: RNAcentral
AAAGAUUUAGUUAAUUCCACAAUAAUAUAAAUUUGUCAAAUUUAAGUAAUUUAAUUAUAUAAAAUAAUCUUUU